AACGUAGGUGGCGAGCGUUAUCCGGAUUUACUGGGCGUAAAGCGUGUGCAGGCGGGGCUCCAAGGGGUGUAUGAAAUUUCCCAGCUUAACUGGGAGAGGUUAUGCCAGACUGGAGUUCUAGAGUGCGAGAGAGGGGCGUGGAAUUCCGGGUGUAGUGGUGGAAUGCGUAGAGAUCCGGAGGAACACCAGCGGCGAAGGCGGCAUCCUGGACUGGUCCUGACACUCAGGAGCGAAAGCGUGGGGAGCGAUCCGG
Molecule: ribosomal RNA, 253 nt
Filed under: uncultured bacterium
Lineage: Bacteria
Description: partial 16S ribosomal RNA
Rfam family: Bacterial small subunit ribosomal RNA
Source: RNAcentral